This 308-nucleotide long non-coding RNA is filed under the name Mustela putorius furo (domestic ferret). Its description in RNAcentral is "lncRNA (ENSMPUG00000028150.1)". Lineage: Eukaryota; Metazoa; Chordata; Mammalia; Carnivora; Mustelidae. The record is from RNAcentral.
GUCUGUGCCUUGGUUUCCAUGUUUACCACCAGGAAUAUCCAUGGUGGCUGCUUACUUGGCUUGUUGGGAACCUCUGUUGCAGAGUCAAAGUGAGCCAUGCCCUCACGCUUAUGCAGAUAAGCCAACAUGCCCAUUUUUGAAUCCAGAGUUCAGCAAUUCGAGAAUGAAAAAAAUUAUCUGGUCAGCGUGAGAUUGUGAACAAUGGCUUACUCAUCUCGUACUGCUCCUCUCCAGUAGAGUGAAUUUAUGGACUCAAGUGUGUGCAAUAAAUGUUUAUUGGACGAAUAAACGUUGAAACCUACAUGCAU